CCGAGUGAGGGCCCUCUGGGUCCAACCUCCCACCCGUGUUUACCGUACCCUGUUGCUUCGGCGGGCCCGCCCUCAGCGGCCGCCGGGAUGGCCCCUUGCGCCUCCGGGCCCGCGCCCGCCGAAGACACCUGUGAACGCUGUAUGAAGAUUGCAGUCUGAGCUUAUUAGCUAAAUUAGUUA
Molecule: unclassified non-coding RNA, 180 nt
Filed under: uncultured Penicillium
Lineage: Eukaryota; Fungi; Ascomycota; Eurotiomycetes; Eurotiales; Aspergillaceae
Description: sequence contains ITS1
Source: RNAcentral